GUUUUAAGGAUAAGCAUAUUCCUCCUGUAUACCCAGAGCCAUGGCUGGGAUUGCCACCGGCUUCCCUUUCAAGACCAUCCCGACUAGACCCACCAAGAUCAUCAUACCUCGAUCACUCCUCUCUUCCCUCCAAUCCAAGCACUUUGGCCCUCAUUUCCGCUUCCCAAACACUUUCUCCUCCUCGUCUCUCCACUGGUCUGCUCCGCCUGCUAUAUCCGCCCGUUAGGGUGGUGGUGAUUUUCGUUCCUCCGCCGCUCCCGGUCGUUCCAAGAGGAAUGAUGAAGACCAGGCUCUUGAUUUAUCUUCCAUCAGGUUGGGGUAGUGUCUAAAAGCCAGGCCAUUGAAAUGGCUGAAGAUGCAGGACUCGAUUUGGUGAUAUUAUCCCCUGAUGCAGAUCCUCCUGUUGUCAGAAUAAUGGAUUAUAAUAAGUAUAGAUAUGAACAACAAAAGAAGAAGAAAGUACAGCAGAAGAAAAGUGCGUGUUAAUGUCCUCUCUGUUAGAGUUUUCAAUGGGGAAUGCUAAAGUCAUACAACAUCUGGCUGGUGGCAAAGUAUCUCUGUUCUAAUUUGAUCCUGUUGACACAGUCAGAUUGACUAUGGAUUUAGCACUUCCCUGUGCAUUUCUAGUUGAUUCAUGACUAAACUUUCCUUUUUGCGGAUUGAUGCCGAGUAAACUAUUAUUUCAUCUGUCAGCCAAUCGCAUGGAUCUUAAGGAGUUGAAAAUGGGGUGAGUAUUUGCAUUAUACUUCUAUGUCCUCUUUGUUAGACUCAACUAUUAAACUUUCCUUUCUUUGGAUUGAUGCUGACAAAACGUUCCUCCGGGAAACGAAACUACUCUGGGGACAAAACUGAACAUGUUUUGGAACUCUAAAACAUAGUUCUUUGUCUUUAAUCUCACAACUUUUUGGCUUUUAUUAUUGAUGCAGGAGCUUUAUUGUACCAAGUUUCUCUAUGUUUUAAAUGUAGGGCUAACUGCUAAGAUUAAAAUUAUCUUUGUAACCCUACCAUAAAUAAGCCGUAAAAAAUACUAUA
Molecule: long non-coding RNA, 1032 nt
Organism: Hibiscus syriacus
Lineage: Eukaryota; Viridiplantae; Streptophyta; Magnoliopsida; Malvales; Malvaceae
Exons: 4
Source: RefSeq, a predicted model, not a curated record